Molecule: long non-coding RNA, 412 nt
Organism: Ahaetulla prasina
Lineage: Eukaryota; Metazoa; Chordata; Lepidosauria; Squamata; Colubridae
Exons: 4
Source: RefSeq, a predicted model, not a curated record
GUGGCUCCCUGAGGAAUGGACCAGGAAAGAGAAAGAGCAACAGAGCAAUGGCCAGACCAACAGCAGGAACGUUCUAGGUCCUGAGGUCUCUGCACCCCAUUUCCUACUGACUUUAUUACUUUGCUACUAUUGAAGUUUCUUGAUGAAAACCCUGGAAACAAGAUCAUCUCUGAUCCCAUUCACAAAACUACUUGAUUCACCCAGGAAAUGGAUCAUUGGGCUCCUAAGAUAUCUACCCAAGUGAAAUGAACCCCUUUCUAUCUUUGGCAGGAUCAGGGGGUCUCCAACUUUAGUAGCUUUAGGUUUGUAGACUUCAACUCCCGGAGUUCCUCAUUCAGCAAAGCAGGAAGUCAAAGCAGGCUGUAAUCAGUAGCUGAAGUAAGCAUAGCGUUGCCAGCCCGAAAGGAGCAGU